UACGUAGGGAGCAAGCGUUGUCCGGAAUCAUUGGGCGUAAAGCGCGCGUAGGUGGCUUCGUAAGUCCGUUGUGAAAGUCAAAGGCUCAACCUUUGAAAGCCGAUGGAUACUGCGGAGCUAGAGUACGGAAGAGGCGAGUGGAAUUCCUGGUGUAGCGGUGGAAUGCGCAGAUAUCAGGAGGGACACCAAUAGCGAAGGCAGCUCGCUGGGACGUUACUGACACUGAGGCGCGAAAGCGUGGGGAGCGAACAGG
Molecule: ribosomal RNA, 253 nt
Filed under: uncultured bacterium
Lineage: Bacteria
Description: partial 16S ribosomal RNA
Rfam family: Bacterial small subunit ribosomal RNA
Source: RNAcentral